GCAGCAUGGCAGGCCGUGUGCAAUUUCAAGAAUUAUGGGCGUGACUUAUCAAAUGCCAAUUUUAAAAAAUACUAUAUUUGAGUGUACUUAAGUUUGAGAGCCAUUUGCGAAUGGUCUAGGCUCAAGGACUGUUGAUUUUAAAUCUUCUCCAACUUCGAGAGUUCUACAUCCUCAUUCGAUUUCUUUGUGGCAGAAUGGCAUUCCGGAUUCGUUCGUACUCUCUCAUAUUGGUUUCUUUAGGUAUGUUGGCUUUCUGCACUCUACCUGCAAAGGGUAAUAGACAGUUCAUCUUUGCUCCGAUGCCCAACAAACAAGAUAAAAGUAUAGAUAUUGGUGUUGUUAUCCAGGCUUUGGAAGAUAACGAAACUAAUAUCAAUGUACUUUUCCCCAGAAAGUUAUUUGAAGACCAUAUUGCCUUGUCACCAAGAUCUGGUUCAUACAACUAUCCUCUACCAUACUCUCUGAUCGAACAAACAACAACCGAUGUCCUCGACUCUACAGUUGUUUUAACAUCUGAUCAAGAUAUAAAAGUUAUUUCAUAUAACCUUGCAAGUGG
This 556-nucleotide long non-coding RNA is filed under the name Lytechinus variegatus (green sea urchin). RNAcentral's name for it is "uncharacterized LOC121423484". Lineage: Eukaryota; Metazoa; Echinodermata; Echinoidea; Temnopleuroida; Toxopneustidae. The record is from RNAcentral.